AUGGCCUAUUCUCGAAGGGAAAUGCAAACUGAAAAGGGGCAGCGCUCAGAAUGUGUGCAAACUUUAAAUGGUGAACCUGAAGCUGUCGAUGUAAAAGAUCUACACGUCGUGAAGAUUGAACCUCAAGAUAUGGUAACCAGAAAUUCAACAGAGGACCGCAAUGCAGAAGAUAAUUUGACGAGCAGAAUGGCCAAAGAUAACUAUUUGAAGACCAUCGCUGAUACAAUGGCAGCUUCAUCCACUACCGAAGACAUGAACAAUCGUGGAAUUAUUUGCCACAACCCUGUACUUCAUGAGCAGGAAUCAGCCAAAGAAGCAUCAGCAAGCCAUAAAACGCCGAAACAAGAUGUCAUCCAAAAAGAAAUUGUGGAAAUCCAGCAUAUGCUCAUGAGAUUUCAUCAAAUGAAAAAUUCUGGAAUCUUGACUCCUGGAGAAAUCAACAAUAUGAUGUCCUUGAGGAACAGGUUGAAAAUGCUGAAACAGAAACAUUCUCGUCUAAAGGCAGAAGCUGAACGGCAGAGAAGGCGACGGCAUGAACUUAAGAAUAAACUGUUCAUGCUUGCCAAUGAUCAUCACAGCCUACAGAAUUUUGCGCGAGGGAAGCACGGGAGACCAAGUUUGGAAACGGAUAAACCGGAACUAUUAUGCGUUAUCAAAGAUCUCGCUGUCGGUGCUGGUGCGGUCGAUGACCGUCCACAUUCGGGGUAUUUCCAGUCUUCGAAAACUCUCAAUCAACUGACUGAAGAAUUGCAUCAACAAGGAUUUCACAUUAGUCGUGCGGCCACAUAUUUGCGUCUGACACCAAGACAGAGCGAUACGGAACAAGGAAAGAGACAUGUUUCUACAGUUCCUGUGAAAUUGAUGCGAGCUCCAAAGACUCGCCAUGAAUCUCACGUAGACACGGAUUUCACCUUGGCAACAAUAUCUUAUGUUAAGGAUUUGUGUUCAUGGUUUGGACCAAAGACCUGUUCUUUUCUAAGUAUGGAUCAUAAAGCCAGAGUUCCCAUUGGACUCACCAGUGUACCUAAUGAAGAUGUUGACGGGGUGCAGAUGGAAGAUCAUGUUGAGCAUUUCGAACAAGAUUCCGCCGCUGUUGAAACCCUCAACCUGAUGCUUUCGGUCUAUGCUUCUUGCGCAAUUUCGAACAACAUGUUGCAGUCGGCUGUCACCUACAGUGGUCCAACCUACAUCACUAUUAGGGAUGAAAAGCAUGACCGAAGCACCAUAGGUACCCAUGCCCGAGAUUUUGAACAUUUACUGGAGCUCGAAAGCUUCAAAGCGGUGAUGUGUUACGAGACCGGUGAGCUAAAGCCAAUUCUUGUUUGCAACAUUGACAGUGGGCCUGAUGAAAACCCCAGGUUACCGAAGCCAUUGCAAGUCGCCUGCAAUCGAUUCAGGGCACACAAUUUGGAUGUAUAUUUAGCUUUAACGCAAGCUCCGGGAUUUUCAAUGUACAAUCACUUGGAGCGCCGGUUAGCAAUACUCUGUCGAGAUCUAUCGGAACGUGCACUUCCAAGUGAUUCCUUUGGGAGUCACCAUCACAGCUCGGGAGACACAAAUGACUCUGAAUUGGAAGUUCAGUACAUCAAGAAAGCUGGAGAAGCGCUUGCAGAAAGGUGGUCGGGCUCUUUGCUGGACUCGUACAAUGUCACCGCCGAGUACUUGGAGGCUGGGGAUAAGUCGACUGGUGAGCUCGACAGUGUCUCUCAAAAAUGGGUGGCAAAUCACGUGCGCCAAAGCCAGUACCUUCUGCAAAUUAUAAAAUGUGAUGAUGGAACAUGCUGCAUGGAAUGGCGUACUAACUGGAACGAGAUGGUUCCAACAAGGUUCUUACCAGCACCUUUCCCUUUGCAACGGUCACAAAAUGGUCUCACAGACGUACUGACGAAAAUGAAGGUGGAAGUUGAUGACGCAGAUGGUGGAGAUACGAGAGUGUUUAGGUAGGCCAUCAGCCUGAAGUUUAGGCGCGAAAGCAGCUUCACUCCCGUCUUAGAGGGAGGGGGAGACCAUCCGGGAGGCAAGUGGGAGAUGAGUGUCCUCCACCCAUCAAAUGGCCAUCGGGUCAAUGGUGAGUGAGAGGAGAGGGGAGGGGAAGGGAGUUGUGUUGUGGGGCUGGGUUUCGGUGGCGAGCACGACCGCUAGGGUGAGCAGUAGAGUCGGCUCCACCGAACACACCGGAAUUUAAGUCGUAACCUUCGGAUAAGUCCGAAGGUACGAGUCCCUUACAGGACCAUGAAUCGCCAAUAAUUCGACCGCGUGGGGUAGGGUUAAUUGCAUAAUUUUAAUAUACCUAAAUACCCACGCAGUCGAACUACCAGGGAACCACACCCUCGGCAGGUCUCGAGCGGAACGAGCCGUUACCGUGCUCGAACCGUGUGUAACCCGAGUGUAUGGUUACCGAGGCCCGUCGGUCCAAAUGAACAAUUACGGCAACAACGGCCUUCCUAAUCCCCAAUACGCACCGUGGCAAACCAAUGGCAGAAAUGACAAAGAACGAGCUGGUACAUUCAACAAAAGGGAUAUUUAUUAACAAUAAUCGGGGAGAGGAACACGGAGCAGAGUUAUCACAAAUAUAAAAAGGUAUCAAAUAUACAAGCAAUUCCUGAAACAAUUCUACUUAAAGACAGGGCCCACGGACACACACAAAUACCCAGAAAGAGAUGGACCUCAAGGUCUUUAUUGCCCCUUCAGCUCGGAGGAAAGACGAGCUGAGGGAAGAGAAUGUGCUGGCUACCUGGCCGCGUUCGCGCGGCUCGACGUCCGCAACUUCCCGGAGCACCAGUUGCCAAAGAACGGACCAGGGCAGCUGAACCCAGAGGAGGCGAGACGAGGUGAUCUCCCGUGAUGAGAUGGUCGACCGGUUGUCGUAAUGCGCCAGACGAGACGCCUCGGAUGCGCGCGAUGCAGUCAGCCGCAGACCCAGACAGAAAACGUG
Molecule: long non-coding RNA, 2935 nt
Organism: Eptatretus burgeri (inshore hagfish)
Lineage: Eukaryota; Metazoa; Chordata; Myxini; Myxiniformes; Myxinidae
Source: Ensembl